This 641-nucleotide long non-coding RNA is filed under the name Homo sapiens (human). RNAcentral describes it as "HSALNT0078877". The record is from RNAcentral. Lineage: Eukaryota; Metazoa; Chordata; Mammalia; Primates; Hominidae.
CAAACACACUAUUUUUUAAAUAAUAUUCACUAUUUAAUACUUUAGUGUACCCAGCAAUGCAUGAACCACAGAGAGCAAUCUUUUCCAAACAAGAGUGAAUCUAGGUAAAUUCUGUGGCUAAAUAACCAUCCCCCGAAAAAAAGUAAUACAUCUAGAGAAAACAGCAUACAAAAUCAAAUCUACUCAUUUUAAACCAUGGAAAAAACCACAUUUCCAUGUAUUUCUUUAAAAUCUUUUAAUAUAUAUAAAAAAUUUCACAUACUUUUACGAUUUUAUGGGAUAUAUGACUGCCCAGGGAAUGCUACAAUGUCAGACACAAAUUUGAAAAUAACUCUUCCAUAAGUACUGCUAGAACUCUUCCAUAAGUACUGCUAGAUUAUACAGGCAAUCUUUACAUAAUAUCAUUAGGAUACAGACAACCCUAGGGCUGUAAGUAUUCCGUGAAGGUGAAUAUGAGACAAUUAAUUAUACUCCCCAUAUUAGAUUGGUUCUCAUCAGACAACCUAACACUAAGCUUAUUUGACACUGUUUUUUAAAAGAUCCAGUAUUAAAAGAAUAACCUUCCUCUGGGUAGAAAAAAUAGUAAUUUUGACCUAUUAAAGAUGAUAUAUAUUGAUAAAACACAGUCUUGUUCUCAAAUA